This 72-nucleotide transfer RNA is filed under the name Camelus bactrianus (Bactrian camel). It matches the Rfam family "tRNA". Rfam says of the family: Transfer RNA (tRNA) molecules are approximately 80 nucleotides in length. Their secondary structure includes four short double-helical elements and three loops (D, anti-codon, and T loops). RNAcentral also lists the same sequence under 2 other names. Lineage: Eukaryota; Metazoa; Chordata; Mammalia; Artiodactyla; Camelidae. The record is from Rfam by way of RNAcentral.
GAGGGUAUAGCUCAGUGGUAGAGCGUGUGCUUAGUGCACACAAGGUCCUGAGUUCAAUCCCCAUCACCUCCA